This 459-nucleotide ribosomal RNA is filed under the name uncultured bacterium. Its description in RNAcentral is "partial 16S ribosomal RNA". It matches the Rfam family "Bacterial small subunit ribosomal RNA", at positions 338 to 795 of the family's 1533-position model. The record is from RNAcentral.
CCUACGGGUGGCAGCAGUGAGGAAAAUUGGUCAAUGGCCGGAAGGCUGAACCAGCCAUGCCGCGUGAAGGUCAGUGCCCUAUGGGCGUUAAACUUCUUUUGUGCGGGAGCAAUAAUGGUCACGUGUGGCCAGACGAGAGUACCGUACGAAUAAGCAUCGGCUAACUCCGUGCCAGCAGCCGCGGUAAUACGGAGGGUGCAAGCGUUGUCCGGAAUCAUUGGGCGUAAAGAGUUCGUAGGUGGCAUAUUAAGUCUGGUGUUAAAUGCAGAAGCUCAACUUCUGUUCGGCACUGGAUACUGGUAAGCUUGAAUGCGGUAGAGGUAAAGGGAAUGCCUGGUGUAGCGGUGAAAUGCGUAGAUAUCAGGAGGAACAUCGGUGGCGUAAGCGCUUUACUGGGCCGUAAUUGACACUGAGGAACGAAAGCCGGGGUAGCAAAUGGGAUUAGAUACCCGGGUAGUC